Molecule: ribosomal RNA, 497 nt
Filed under: uncultured bacterium
Lineage: Bacteria
Description: partial 16S ribosomal RNA
Rfam family: Bacterial small subunit ribosomal RNA
Source: RNAcentral
GAUGAACGCUGGCGGCGUGCCUAAUACAUGCAAGUCGAGCGAACAGACUAUGAGCUUGCUCCUCUGACGUUAGCGGCGGACGGGUGAGUAACACGUGGAUAACCUACCUAUAAGACUGGGAUAACUUCGGGAAACCGGAGCUAAUACCGGAUAAUAUAUUGAACCUCAUUUUUCUAUAGUGAAAGACGGUUUUGCUGUCACUUAUAGAUGGAUCCGCGCCGCAUUAGCUAGUUGGUAAGGUAACGGCUUACCAAGGCAACGAUGCGUAGCCGACCUGAGAGGGUGAUCGGCCACACUGGAACUGAGACACGGUCCAGACUCCUACGGGAGGCAGCAGUAGGGAAUCUUCCGCAAUGGGCGAAAGCCUGACGGAGCAACGCCGCGUGAGUGAUGAAGGUCUUCGGAUCGUAAAACUCUGUUAUUAGGGAAGAACAAAUGUGUAAGUAACUAUGCACGUCUUGACGGUACCUAAUCAGAAAGCCACGGCUAACUACGUG